Molecule: ribosomal RNA, 1372 nt
Filed under: uncultured bacterium
Lineage: Bacteria
Description: bacterial SSU rRNA
Rfam family: Bacterial small subunit ribosomal RNA
Source: RNAcentral
GAUGAACGCUGGCGGCGUGCCUAAUACAUGCAAGCCGAGCGAACGGACGAGAAGCUUGCUUCUCUGAUGUUAGCGGCGGACGGGUGAGUAACACGUGGAUAACCUACCUAUAAGACUGGGAUAACUUCGGGAAACUGGAGCUAAUACCGGAUAAUAUUUUGAACCGCAUGGUUCAAAAGUGAAAGACGGUCUUGCUGUCACUUAUAGAUGGAUCCGCGCUGCAUUAGCUAGUUGGUAAGGUAACGGCUUACCAAGGCAACGAUGCAUAGCCGACCUGAGAGGGUGAUCGGCCACACUGGAACUGAGACACGGUCCAGACUCCUACGGGAGGCAGCAGUAGGGAAUCUUCCGCAAUGGGCGAAAGCCUGACGGAGCAACGCCGCGUGAGUGAUGAAGGUCUUCGGAUCGUAAAACUCUGUUAUUAGGGAAGAACAUAUGUGUAAGUAACUGUGCACAUCUUGACGGUACCUAAUCAGAAAGCCACGGCUAACUACGUGCCAGCAGCCGCGGUAAUACGUAGGUGGCAAGCGUUAUCCGGAAUUAUUGGGCGUAAAGCGCGCGUAGGCGGUUUUUUAAGUCUGAUGUGAAAGCCCACGGCUCAACCGUGGAGGGUCAUUGGAAACUGGAAAACUUGAGUGCAGAAGAGGAAAGUGGAAUUCCAUGUGUAGCGGUGAAAUGCGCAGAGAUAUGGAGGAACACCAGUGGCGAAGGCGACUUUCUGGUCUGUAACUGACGCUGAUGUGCGAAAGCGUGGGGAUCAAACAGGAUUAGAUACCCUGGUAGUCCACGCCGUAAUCGAUGAGUGCUAAGUGUUAGGGGGUUUCCGCCCCUUAGUGCUGCAGCUAACGCAUUAAGCACUCCGCCUGGGGAGUACGACCGCAAGGUUGAAACUCAAAGGAAUUGACGGGGACCCGCACAAGCGGUGGAGCAUGUGGUUUAAUUCGAAGCAACGCGAAGAACCUUACCAAAUCUUGACAUCCUUUGACAACUCUAGAGAUAGAGCCUUCCCCUUCGGGGGACAAAGUGACAGGUGGUGCAUGGUUGUCGUCAGCUCGUGUCGUGAGAUGUUGGGUUAAGUCCCGCAACGAGCGCAACCCUUAAGCUUAGUUGCCAUCAUUAAGUUGGGCACUCUAAGUUGACUGCCGGUGACAAACCGGAGGAAGGUGGGGAUGACGUCAAAUCAUCAUGCCCCUUAUGAUUUGGGCUACACACGUGCUACAAUGGACAAUACAAAGGGCAGCGAAACCGCGAGGUCAAGCAAAUCCCAUAAAGUUGUUCUCAGUUCGGAUUGUAGUCUGCAACUCGACUACAUGAAGCUGGAAUCGCUAGUAAUCGUAGAUCAGCAUGCUACGGUGAAUACGUUCCCGGGUCU